Molecule: ribosomal RNA, 372 nt
Filed under: uncultured bacterium
Lineage: Bacteria
Description: bacterial SSU rRNA
Rfam family: Bacterial small subunit ribosomal RNA
Source: RNAcentral
UACGAAGGAUCCAAGCGUUGUCCGGAUUUACUGGGUUUAAAGGGAGCGUAGGCGGACUUUUAAGUCAGUGGUGAAAGCUUGCAGCUUAACUGUAAAAUUGCCAUUGAAACUGAAAGUCUCGAGUAUGGUUGAGGUGACUGGAAUAUAUCAUGUAGCGGUGAAAUGCUUAGAUAUGAUAUAGAACACCAAUUGCGAAGGCAGGUCACUAAACCAUAACUGACGCUGAGGCUCGAAAGCGUGGGGAUCAAACAGGAUUAGAUACCCUGGUAGUCCACGCCCUAAACGUUGAAUACUCGAUCUUAGCGAUAUACAGUUAGGAUCCAAGCGAAAGCGUUAAGUAUUCCACCUGGGAAGUACGAUCGCAAGAUUGAA